AUUGACAACUAGAAAAGUCAAAAUGCGACACUAGUGGGAAGUAGAAGCAACUACGUAUACACAUCAAAAAUCGGGAUCCAUAAGCAUUACAUGUGUUUUCAAUCAGCACUCAAGUUCUAACCAAAAAAUUGAAAGCCAAAAGCGAAAACAAAGAUCCAAAGACUGCUGUAUUCCUCACAAUUCCAGGAUUAAGUGCAGAAUCCACCCAAAUGGAUAUUUCUAUUUCAUUCUAUGACAUAGUGCAGUACUUUGAUGGGGUGAAGAGGUCCAUUAAGGAAGGAGAGGAAAUAGUGAAGGCAGGCUGGGUGUAUGCUAUUGGCCUAUCACCACCUCCUUCUACAAACGAAGUCACAGCCAUAGUUGUUGCUGUCUCUUCCAUGACCUCGAAGCCCCAUGAAGUUAAAUUGAAAACUCUUC
Episyrphus balteatus (marmalade hoverfly) is the source of this 417-nucleotide long non-coding RNA. RefSeq lists it as uncharacterized. The transcript has 3 exons. The record is from RefSeq and is a predicted model, not a curated record. NCBI's taxonomy places the organism in Eukaryota, Metazoa, Arthropoda, Insecta, Diptera, Syrphidae.